RNAcentral lists this transfer RNA (73 nucleotides) under Pneumocystis murina. Its description in RNAcentral is "tRNA-His". It matches the Rfam family "tRNA". From Rfam's summary of the family: Transfer RNA (tRNA) molecules are approximately 80 nucleotides in length. Lineage: Eukaryota; Fungi; Ascomycota; Pneumocystomycetes; Pneumocystales; Pneumocystaceae. The record is from RNAcentral.
GUGAAUAUAAUUCAAGGGUUAGAAUAUAAAUUUGUGGUAUUUACUGUUUCUGGUUCGAGUCCAGAUAUUCACC